UACGUAGGGGGCAAGCGUUAUCCGGAUUUACUGGGUGUAAAGGGAGCGUAGGUGGUACGGCAAGUCAGAUGUGAAAGCCCGGGGCUCAACCCCGGGACUGCAUUUGAAACUGCCGGACUAGAGUGCAGGAGAGGUAAGUGGAAUUCCUAGUGUAGCGGUGAAAUGCGUAGAUAUUAGGAGGAACACCAGUGGCGAAGGCGGCUUACUGGACUGUAACUGACACUGAGGCUCGAAAGCGUGGGGAGCAAACAGG
Molecule: ribosomal RNA, 253 nt
Filed under: uncultured bacterium
Lineage: Bacteria
Description: partial 16S ribosomal RNA
Rfam family: Bacterial small subunit ribosomal RNA
Source: RNAcentral